GAUAAGCUUGGGAAACUGGGUCUAAUACCGGAUAGGAGCCAUCUUUAGUGUGGUGGUUGGAAAGUUUUUUCGGUGUAGGAUGAGCUCGCGGCCUAUCAGCUUGUUGGUGGGGUAAUGGCCUACCAAGGCGGCGACGGGUAGCCGGCCUGAGAGGGUGUACGGCCACAUUGGGACUGAGAUACGGCCCAG
This 189-nucleotide ribosomal RNA is filed under the name uncultured Actinomycetales bacterium. RNAcentral's name for it is "partial 16S ribosomal RNA". It matches the Rfam family "Bacterial small subunit ribosomal RNA", at positions 142 to 334 of the family's 1533-position model. Lineage: Bacteria; Bacillati; Actinomycetota; Actinomycetes; Actinomycetales. The record is from RNAcentral.